This 217-nucleotide long non-coding RNA is filed under the name Elaeis guineensis (African oil palm). RNAcentral's name for it is "long non-coding RNA (EGUI_LNC007500)". Lineage: Eukaryota; Viridiplantae; Streptophyta; Magnoliopsida; Arecales; Arecaceae. The record is from RNAcentral.
AGGUGGGGUGGCUCUUUGAAGAGCCGUCAUAGCAUUGCUGAGCUAGGGUUUGAUCAUCUUGGAGCUCACUGAUCACAUGUUCUAUUGGGAGCUUCAUCAUCAAAUGAUAUGUAGAGAUGAUGGCCUGGAGUGCAUUUAGCCCAGAUAGUCUAAGGAUGAAAUUGUAGACUAAGAGAAUCCUCACCACCAAAAAGUUAAGAUGUACCAUGAUUCGAUG